AUUGAACGCUGGCGGCAUGCUUUACACAUGCAAGUCGAACGGUAACAGGCCGCAAGGUGCUGACGAGUGGCGAACGGGUGAGAAAUGCAUCGGAACGUGCCCAGUCGUGGGGGAUAACGCAGCGAAAGUUGCGCUAAUACCGCAUACGAUCUAUGGAUGAACGCGGGGGACCGUAAGGCCUCGCGCGAUUGGAGCGGCCGAUGUCAGAUUAGGUAGUUGGUGGGGUAAAGGCUCACCAAGCCGCAGAUCUGUAGCCGGUCUGGGAGGACGAGCAGCCACACUGGGACUGAGACACGGCCCAGACUCCUACGGGAGGGAGAAGUGGGGAAUUUUGGAGAAUGGGCGCAAGCCUGAUCCAGCAAUGCCGCGUGCAGGAAGAAGGCCUUCGGGUUGUAAACUGCUUUUGUACGGAACGAAACGGUCCUGGUUAAUACCCGGGGCUAAUGACGGUACCGUAAGAAUAAGCACCGGCUAUCUACGUGCCAGCCGCCGCCGUAA
This 498-nucleotide ribosomal RNA is filed under the name uncultured bacterium. RNAcentral's name for it is "partial 16S ribosomal RNA". It matches the Rfam family "Bacterial small subunit ribosomal RNA", at positions 29 to 523 of the family's 1533-position model. The record is from RNAcentral.